Molecule: long non-coding RNA, 2551 nt
Organism: Gasterosteus aculeatus aculeatus (three-spined stickleback)
Lineage: Eukaryota; Metazoa; Chordata; Actinopteri; Perciformes; Gasterosteidae
Source: Ensembl
AUCCUACAAAAAGUUCUGAAAUGUGUACCCCUUCUAACCCAAAAACACUUUAUCCUUGUUUUUAUGAGUUCCUGAGGAGAUUGGUGGACACGGAUCUGGACUCCCCCCCCUCCCCUCACUGCUCCUCCAGCCUUCGUGAGCCCGCAGUCUCCUCAGCAGGAAGCAGCACAGGCAAACUUUCCUCGGCUUGACAACAGCCCACCAGGAGGGAAGCCAGAUUCAACCUCCAACACCAGCCAGACGACCUUUUCACCUACUGUGACCCGCUCGCAGGCUCAACAAAGACGGGCCUUGCUCAGAGAAGGAAAACAGGCGUUGUUUGAUCCUGCAGCUUCUUUUCCAGUCGAGGGGGCGCAAGGGCCGAUGCUGGUUCUCAGACCCUGGUCAGAUACCAAUGUGACCAAGGCAAUGAGCCACGUCUGCAGUCCUAAGGACAAUCUUGCUAAGUGGGAGACUGAUCUUCAGCAAUUUGUCAGAAAAUACCAUCCUAGAAUGGCUGCUCGCCUUAAAGAUCCUGAUUGUGAGCACGGCACAGAUGUGGACAUUAGAAGUGCUGUAGAUGCUCUCAUUGUGUUGGGAAAAGAACAAUUUCCUCUGAGACUGAACCUCCCCACUGUCAUCUCUAUGACACAAGGGCCACAAGAAACAUGCAGCUCCUUCCUGGCUCGCCUGACGACAGCUUUUGACAUCCGCAGUGGCCUUAAGCGACCUGAUCCAAUGGGCCACAGGCAGUGCUGUAGUGGUAAAAUUAGAGUGCCAACAAUUUCGUGGAAGAGGAAGAGGUUAUGGAAGAGCUCGUGGCAGAUCUGACUUACGGGAAUCAAGCGUGUGUUGUGGACAACAAGGACAUUGGCGAGCAGAGUGUCCUGAGCACAUGAGGAUGAGACACAUCACACGUCUGACUGAGGGAGGCAGAGGGAGGGGCGGACCCCAGAGACGGAUCACCCUACCACGAUGAGAAAAUCUUGGGCGGUUCGUGGACGGCUCCGCUUCUCGCUCACCCGAAACAGGCGGCGGCCAGGAAACAGGGGAGCGGAUGCAGCGGCAAAGAAGGCAGCCUCACAGGGCUUCCUUUUCCCCUUCACUCAAAUGCUUUCCACACCGACCGAUCCUAGUCCUUAUGCCGAUCUUCCCACACUUCAGUCGCUUGCCGGUGCACAGGAGCGUUCCCUGUGGAAACGAUCUGGUGCCAUUCUUGAGGGCGGAAACUGAACAGGGCCAGACAGUGGGCCUUGCUUGCCACAUGCUCUCUUCCACAUUUAUGCUAAGUUGUCUCACGGAAGAGAUCACGUGGGCAAAGGGGAGAUGUGCACUGCUUUUAACUUUAGUUUAAUUAGUUUAAUUUUAACUAAUUAUUUGAAUACAGUUUAUACUAAAGUGUAAACAGUCAAAUGCUCGAACAGAUCCCGGAUCCAGGAGACAAAGGAGCACCUCCAUCUGGUUCCGGUUAAGGGGUUGCAGGGUGGAGAGCCCUCCCCCACUGCAGUGUUCCAAGACACCGACGAGCCCGGUAGAGAUGGCAGAGACAGCAAGGACGGCAGCCACCUGGAGAACAGCGAUAAAAGACAGAUCUCCAGCGCCAAAGAACACUUAGGAAGCAUAGUUGGAGCCUGAGAAUGAACAUGUGCAUAUCACUGACGCUGGCCACAUUUGUGCUGAUUCCCCUCACGAUCAAUGAACUACAACCUCCUUAUGUGAACAUCACAGAUUCCAGCCUUCUCCACUUCUCCAAUAGAGAAUUUCAGGAAGGGAAAAUAAGUUUCCACUGUCCAGCAAAACAAUGCGACGAGACAGAGUGUUUGCUCUACACAAUCGAACAUGAUGCAUGGGUUAAAAUAGAAAGUCACGUAGUUGAAGUUGUGUGUGUUCCCGGGGUAAGAAGAAAUAGAGUAUGUACUGUGUGGGUGCACGGAACAUUUGAUUUAGCAGAUCCACCAUUCUGGUGCAGUAAACCACGAUCGGGUCAGGAGAUACCAGCCUACACUGGCUCCAGCAACUGGAGGGAGACGUUCAAAAGAACUUAUCAUCCUGUCAGUGAGACACAGCCUAAAACAGUACCACCUGAAAUAAUUUACGAAGCCGGUAAACCACAGGCCAUGACCUCCCGCAGGCCAGAACAGCCCCCCACUAAAGCAACUUGGAGGCAAAGGUUGAUUUCUUUCAAAUGUCAAAAGGGGGGUGUGGGAAGGAGGGUUGUAAAGCUUACAUGUUACGGCUGAGCACGCCGCACUUAGGUCACUGGUCAGUCCUGAACUCAGAGGACUUUAGGACAAACAACACUUGCACAGUGACUCUAAGUCGUAAAUAUGACACGAGUUGGGAAUACCCGUUCUGGUGCGCUCAACUUGCAGACUGUACGACGGAGCCAGCCCACUUUCACUCAGCUAGAUUGGCAGUAUGCAUUCAAAGUAAGCCUUCAGUUAAGAGAACUUCCAACCCGUAUACCACCGUAAGAGCAUGACAAUAUUGCGUUGACUAUUAUGAAUGAGUUUGCCAAUGAAAGGAAUGUCUCUAAUUGUUGGAUAUGUCAGCAUAUGCCCAUUUCAUCUAG